Molecule: non-coding RNA, 77 nt
Organism: Podarcis lilfordi (Lilford's wall lizard)
Lineage: Eukaryota; Metazoa; Chordata; Lepidosauria; Squamata; Lacertidae
Source: the annotation of a GenBank genome assembly
GGCCAUAGUUCAGCGGCAGAGCAUUUGCUCUGCAUGCAGAAGGUCCCAGGUUCAAUCCUCACUGGUUCCAGGUAACA